Molecule: transfer RNA, 68 nt
Filed under: Parupeneus multifasciatus (manybar goatfish)
Lineage: Eukaryota; Metazoa; Chordata; Actinopteri; Syngnathiformes; Mullidae
Description: tRNA-Phe
Source: RNAcentral
GCUAGCGUGGUUUAAUUAAAACGUAACACUGAAGAUGUUGAAAUGGACCCUAGAAAGUUCCGCUAACA